GACGAACCGUGCGAACGUUGUUCGGAUUCACUGGGCUUAAAGGGCGCGUAGGCGGGCCGUCGAGUCGGGGGUGAAAUCUUUCAGCUCAACUGGAAAAGGGCUUCCGAUACCGACGGUCUCGAGGGGGGUAGGGGCAUCCGGAACUUCCGGUGGAGCGGUGAAAUGCGUAGAUAUCGGGAGGAACACCGGUGGCGAAGGCGGUUCUCUGGGCCUUACCUGACGCUGAGGAGCGAAAGCGUGGGGAGCGAACAGG
RNAcentral lists this ribosomal RNA (253 nucleotides) under uncultured bacterium. RNAcentral describes it as "partial 16S ribosomal RNA". It matches the Rfam family "Bacterial small subunit ribosomal RNA", at positions 524 to 776 of the family's 1533-position model. The record is from RNAcentral.